AGAACGACGCUUCCGGCGAGUUCUUGGAGGAACACGAGCCGCGGAGGCCGAGCUUCUUCGAGUUCCUCACGUUCUUUGCUUCGCAAACUCCCGUGGCGGUUCCGGCGAGUUCUUGGAAGCACAAGCCGCGGAUCCGACUCUCGUCUCCUCCCGCUACGGUUUCAUCCAAGAACGGCUCUCCGGCGAGUUCUUGAACCGGGAACCGCAGAGCCCGAGCUUCUUCUAAUUCUUCGCGUCCGAGAGGGCUCGAUCUCCUCCAGCUAGGGCCCAAGGACGGGCUUCAGGGGUUAUCCUUGAAGAGAACGAGCCAUGGAGCCCGUGCUUCUUCGAAUUCGUCACGUCUUCUUGAAUUCCUUCGCUUCGGACGCCCUUCUCUCAUUCCGAACAUGGUUUCGUCCAACAACGGGCGAUUCGGGCGAGUUCUUGGAAGAGAGCGAGCCACCGGCCUCGAGCUUCUUGGAGAUCCUCUCGUCUGAGAGGGCGAAGGUCUCCACGCUGGGGUCAGCCUUGGCCCUCUGACAUUCCGAUCGAAUGCCUUCCGCGGCCCAUGGGUGGAUCGAGUCCUUCGCCAGCAUGGUCUAGUUGCAGUGGAGUUCCAUUUAAUGAUGGCAAGCUAGCUUGACGUAUCCAUACAAUGUCUUAGCCAGGAAGAAGGGUUAUUGAGUCGGAAGUACUGGAAACAUGGAUGCUCGGUCAUUUGCAGAAGCAGCUCAGGUCGACGGUAGCAAGCAAGUAUGACGUUUUCUUUUGUGCGGUUGAAAUCUUCAUGAUCCAUACAAUUAUGAAUUUCUUUUUGGCACAAUGUGACUCGGUUAACCUCUUCACGUCGGUUGUUUCCUCGUGGUGGUCUCACUCAAAGGUAGUUGUGUCUUCAAGUUAGCAUCAUUAAAUCGGUCGCCUUUAAGACAUUUUCAAAACAAUCAUGUUUUCAAAUUGAUCGUACCUUGAAGUACAAUGUCUUUAAGAAGGCCGCAUCAUCAAAGUAUAUCUUUAAGA
Molecule: long non-coding RNA, 996 nt
Organism: Musa acuminata AAA Group (dessert banana)
Lineage: Eukaryota; Viridiplantae; Streptophyta; Magnoliopsida; Zingiberales; Musaceae
Exons: 3
Source: RefSeq, a predicted model, not a curated record